This 497-nucleotide ribosomal RNA is filed under the name uncultured bacterium. RNAcentral's name for it is "partial 16S ribosomal RNA". It matches the Rfam family "Bacterial small subunit ribosomal RNA", at positions 28 to 507 of the family's 1533-position model. The record is from RNAcentral.
GAUGAACGCUGGCGGCGUGCCUAAUACAUGCAAGUCGAGCGAACAGAUGAGGAGCUUGCUCCUCUGACGUUAGCGGCGGACGGGUGGGUAACACGUGGAUAACCUACCUAUAAUACUGGGAUAACUUCGGGAAACCGGAGCUAAUACCGGAUAAUAUAUUGAACCGCAUGGUUCAAUAGUGAAAGACGGUUUUGCUGUCACUUAUAGAUGGAUCCGCGCCGCAUUAGCUAGUUGGUAAGGUAACGGCUUACCAAGGCAACGAUGCGUAGCCGACCUGAGAGGGUGAUCGGCCACACUGGAACUGAGACACGGUCCAGACUCCUACGGGAGGCAGCAGUAGGGAAUCUUCCGCAAUGGGCGAAAGCCUGACGGAGCAACGCCGCGUGAGUGAUGAAGGUCUUCGGAUCGUAAAACUCUGUUAUUAGGGAAGAACAAAUGUGUAAGUAACUAUGCACGUCUUGACGGUACCUAAUCAGAAAGCCACGGCUAACUACGUG